Long non-coding RNA from Numida meleagris (helmeted guineafowl), 256 nucleotides. RefSeq lists it as uncharacterized. Lineage: Eukaryota; Metazoa; Chordata; Aves; Galliformes; Numididae. The transcript has 4 exons. The record is from RefSeq and is a predicted model, not a curated record.
CCUGAGGCCUUCUAAGGAUAAGUCUCUGUGACUCCGUGGAGGUGGGAGCUACACUGACACUCCAUUUGGCUGGAAGUUUUCUCCAGUUAUACACAGAAUGAAUUAUAUACAGAAAACAGGAUGUUGUGGAAUGCAAGGGAUAAAAGAAGAAUGAAUGCAUAUGGGAAAGGCCUCCCACCUUUCCUUUUGGGUGUAUGGCUCCUUGCCUUCUCUUCCUGCAUGACUUCUUCAACCAGGCAGGACACAGCAGUUUGCA